Molecule: ribosomal RNA, 513 nt
Filed under: Triticum aestivum (bread wheat)
Lineage: Eukaryota; Viridiplantae; Streptophyta; Magnoliopsida; Poales; Poaceae
Description: partial small subunit ribosomal RNA
Source: RNAcentral
AUGGAAUCAUUUCCGCCAAAUGUGACGUUCAGAAGAGAUUUAAUUGGACCCAGACUCCAAUUGUGGAACAUCCUGCUACAACGAUUGUCCAUGGUGCAAUUGACACAUGAGUCUGAUGUAUAUCGAUCGAACCUCCAUGGGAAUGGACAAUUCUCAAUGGAGUCUAUGUAUUGAGCGUUAAUCCAGUCUGAUGUGCCAGUUGAUAAUAAGAAGAAGAUCUGGAAGAUGAAGAUACCUCUUAAGAAUAAAAUCUUUGCAUGGUAUCUUCGUCGCGGAGUCAUUCUUACUAAAGACAACCUUAUUAAGAGGAAUUGGCAUGGAAGUUCACAAUGUGUAUUUUUUCACCAUGAUGAGACAAUAAAACAUUUAUUCUUCCAAUGCAAAUUGGCUCAUUCUAUAUGGCUAGCCAUCCAAAUAGCUACUGGCUUGUAUCCUCCCUGUAGUGUUGCUAAUGAAUUUGGCAACUGGUUACAUGGGAUUGAUCACAGGUUUAGAACUCUUCUUAGGGUGUGA